This 500-nucleotide ribosomal RNA is filed under the name uncultured bacterium. Its description in RNAcentral is "partial 16S ribosomal RNA". It matches the Rfam family "Bacterial small subunit ribosomal RNA", at positions 30 to 523 of the family's 1533-position model. The record is from RNAcentral.
AUUGAACGCUGGCGGCAUGCUUUACACAUGCAAGUCGAACGGUAACAGGGUGCUUGCACCGCUGACGAGUGGCGAACGGGUGAGUAAUGCGUCGGAACGUGCCGAGUAGUGGGGGAUAACGCAUCGAAAGGUGUGCUAAUACCGCAUACGUACUGAGGUAGAAAGUGGGGGACCUUCGGGCCUCACGCUAUUCGAGCGGCCGACGUCUGAUUAGCUAGUUGGUGAGGUAAAGGCUCACCAAGGCGACGAUCAGUAGCGGGUCUGAGAGGAUGAUCCGCCACACUGGGACUGAGACACGGCCCAGACUCCUACGGGAGGCAGCAGUGGGGAAUUGUGGACAAUGGGCGCAAGCCUGAUCCAGCCAUGCCGCGUGUCUGAAGAAGGCCUUCGGGUUGUAAAGGACUUUUGUCCGGGAGCAAAUACCCAGUGCUAAUAACGCUGGGGGCUGAGAGUACCGGAAGAAUAAGCACCGGCUAACUACGUGCCAGCCGCCGCGGUAA